CCAAUAGCGUAUAUUAAAGUUGUUGCAGUUAAAAAGCUCGUAGUUGGAUUUCUGGUGGGAGCGAUCGGUCUGGCGCUUAGCGCGAGUACUUGCAUCGUCUCCGGCCAUCCUUGGGGAGAGUCUGUCUGGCAUUAGGUUGUCGGGCAGAGGAUCCUCAUCGUUUACUGUGAAAAAAUUAGAGUGUUCAAAGCAGGCUUAUGCCGUUGAAUAUAUUAGCAUGGAAUAAUAAGAUAGGACUUUGGUACUAUUUUGUUGGUUUGCGCACCAAAGUAAUGAUUAAUAGGGACAGUUGGGGGUAUUCGUAUUCCGUUGUCAGAGGUGAAAUUCUUGGAUUUACGGAAGACGAACUACUGCGAAAGCAUUUACCAAGGAUGUUUUCAUUA
This 383-nucleotide ribosomal RNA is filed under the name uncultured eukaryote. RNAcentral's name for it is "partial 18S ribosomal RNA". It matches the Rfam family "Eukaryotic small subunit ribosomal RNA", at positions 591 to 975 of the family's 1831-position model. The record is from RNAcentral.